AGAGUUUGAUCCUGGCUCAGGAUGAACGCUAGCGGCAGGCCUAAUACAUGCAAGUCGAGGGGUAACAGAAGAAGCUUGCUUCUUGCUGACGACCGGCGAACGGGUGCGUAACGCGUAUGCAACCUACCCUUAACAGGAGGAUAGCCCGGAGAAAUCCGGAUUAAUACUCCAUAACAUCACGAAUUGGCAUCUUUUUGUGAUUAAAGCUCAGGCGGUUAAGGAUGGGCAUGCGUCCCAUUAGUUUGUUGGUGAGGUAACGGCUCACCAAGGCUACGAUGGGUAGGGGUUCUGAGAGGAUUAUCCCCCACACUGGUACUGAGACACGGACCAGACUCCUACGGGAGGCAGCAGUAAGGAAUAUUGGUCAAUGGACGAAAGUCUGAACCAGCCAUGCCGCGUGCAGGAUUGAAGCGCUACGCGUCGUAAACUGCUUUUAUUUGGGAAGAAACCCUCGGACGUGUCCGAGGCUGACGGUACCAAACGAAUAAGGACCGGCUAACUCCGUGCCAGCAGCCGCGGUAAUACGGAGGGUCCAAGCGUUAUCCGGAAUUAUUGGGUUUAAAGGGUCCGUAGGCGGGAAAUUAAGUCAGUGGUGAAAGCCCACAGCUCAACUGUGGAACUGCCAUUGAUACUGAUUUUCUUGAAUCUGGCUGAAGUGGGCGGAAUAUGUCAUGUAGCGGUGAAAUGCAUAGAUAUGACAUAGAACACCAAUUGCGAAGGCAGCUCACUAAACCAAUAUUGACGCUAAGGAACGAAAGCGUGGGGAGCGAACAGGAUUAGAUACCCUGGUAGUCCACGCUGUAAACGAUGAUCACUCGACAUUGGCGAUACACGGUCAGUGUCUAAGCGAAAGUGUUAAGUGAUCCACCUGGGGAGUACGAUCGCAAGGUUGAAACUCAAAGGAAUUGACGGGGGCCCGCACAAGCGGUGGAGCAUGUGGUUUAAUUCGAUGAUACGCGAGGAACCUUACCAGGGCUUAAAUGUAGAGUGACCGUCUCAGAAACGAGACUUUCUUCGGACAAUUUGCAAGGUGCUGCAUGGCCGUCGUCAGCUCGUGCCGUGAGGUGUCGGGUUAAGUCCCAUAACGAGCGCAACCCCUAUCCUUAGUUGCUAGCAGGUAAUGCUGAGGACUCUAAGGAAACUGCCCGCGUAAGCGGAGAGGAAGGUGGGGAUGACGUCAGGUCAGCACGGCCCUUACGUCCAGGGCUACACACGUGCUACAAUGGUGCAUACAAAGGGCAGCUACCUGGUGACAGGAUGCUAAUCUCUAAAGUGCAUCUCAGUUCGGAUCGAAGUCUGCAACUCGACUUCGUGAAGCUGGAAUCGCUAGUAAUCGUGAAUCAGCCAUGUCACGGUGAAUACGUUCCCGGGCCUUGUACACACCGCCCGUCAAACAAUGGAAGCUGGGGGCGCCUGAAGUCGGUAACCGCAAGGAGCUGCCUAGGGUAAAACUGGUAACUGGGGCUAAGUCGUAACAAGGUAACC
This 1485-nucleotide ribosomal RNA is filed under the name uncultured prokaryote. Its description in RNAcentral is "partial 16S ribosomal RNA". It matches the Rfam family "Bacterial small subunit ribosomal RNA". The record is from RNAcentral.